AUACGGAGGGUGCAAGCGUUAAUCGGAAUUACUGGGCGUAAAGCGUGCGUAGGCGGUUUAUUAAGUCAGAUGUGAAAGCCCCGGGCUUAACCUGGGAACUGCAUUUGAUACUGGUAGACUAGAGUAUGGUAGAGGGGGGUAGAAUUCCUAGUGUAGCGGUGAAAUGCGUAGAUAUUAGGAGGAAUACCAGUGGCGAAGGCGGCCCCCUGGACCAAUACUGACGCUGAGGUACGAAAGCGUGGGGAGCGAACAGGAUUAGAAACCCCUGUAGUCC
RNAcentral lists this ribosomal RNA (274 nucleotides) under uncultured bacterium. RNAcentral describes it as "partial 16S ribosomal RNA". It matches the Rfam family "Bacterial small subunit ribosomal RNA", at positions 523 to 796 of the family's 1533-position model. The record is from RNAcentral.